This is a long non-coding RNA of Arachis duranensis, 905 nucleotides long. RefSeq lists it as uncharacterized. The transcript has 2 exons. The record is from RefSeq and is a predicted model, not a curated record. NCBI's taxonomy places the organism in Eukaryota, Viridiplantae, Streptophyta, Magnoliopsida, Fabales, Fabaceae.
UCUUAUGAUCAUUCAUACAAAAGGAAAAAAAAAAAAAACACAUCUAAAAGAACAAAAAAUAUUGAAAAGAAUGGUUCUAGUAUCCUUCAUCUUUCCUGAAUUUUCUCACAUCUCUCUCAAAGAACGUUUCUCUCUCUCAAUUGUCAGACUGAAACUCUCUCUUCUUUGUGAAUUGGUUUCGCUGUCGCCGACUCGCCGUCACAGGUGCGGGUAACCGGUUUUCCUUCUUGCUUCUGGGUCAGUGGAUAAGGAUCUGAUAGCCGAGCUUGCCUUGCUCUGUGUCGCCAAGGUUAAACUUCUCUUGGGAAUGCUUGUCACAAAGUGUGGACUGGGGCUGUUAAAGAUGUGAAGAGGAAAGACAUCAGACUCCGGAUAGGCUUACACGAGGAAAGAAUAUGCUAGCAAGAAAUCCAGGGGAGAUUUGAGGAGGAAAGACGAGCUCGAACCAUACGCAUACUGGCCACUUGAUAGAAAAAUGAUGAGUCGCCGACCACAGCAGCGUGCUGCAGCGAGAAAGGGUAUGUCAAGUGUUGUAAAGAUGACCAAAAAGUAUGAAGGUAAGAGCGCUUCUGGUGUAUUGUCCAUAAAGAGCUUGAAGCUAAAGAAGAAAGGCAGCAAAAAGAAAAUGUGAAUAGGGUCAAUGUAUAUUGGUAUAUCAUUGAUGAGGUAGAUAACCAUUCGGCAGUUUUCUUUAUUUAUGAAAUCGAUUUUAGUGUUCUCUUUUGUUUUGUCCGCCGCCAAAUGUGUACAUCACAAAAAUUGAUUCUACAGUAGGUCAGAGCCAGUUUGAGUAGGCUUCUUGUGUUUGUUCUCCAGCAAAUGGAAAAAAUUUCGUAUGUAUAUUUACUCCUGCUCGAUUUUGUUUUGCAUUUACUGCAAUUCGAAGAAAAAGUACCUUUGCAUCA